Petromyzon marinus (sea lamprey) is the source of this 819-nucleotide non-coding RNA. Lineage: Eukaryota; Metazoa; Chordata; Hyperoartia; Petromyzontiformes; Petromyzontidae. The record is from RefSeq and is a predicted model, not a curated record.
GAGACCUGCGUCUGGCACGUGGGCCACGCAGCGCAGAACAAACAAUGCCGGUCACACUGGGCGGCUUGUUUAGGCGUCUGCCGGUCGGUGGUGGCUACGCUGCUGCUGCUGGUGCGCGUCGCUGCCUUUAACCCAACGCGCUGUGCGGAGGCAGCGGCGAGGGUUGGUGGAUCACCGCUCAGGUGGCUGUGAGACUCCCUUCCUACCACGUGGGUGGGUGUCGAGGAGGAGCCCUACCCUGGCUCGCCCACGAGAAGGCGGCACAGCAAGUGGACUAAUCUCCAUCUGUUUCUGCUCGUACGGGGACAGAGCGUUGAUACCCCGUCGUGCAAGGCGUGGGUUAUCUCCGGGUGCUCGGCUUUCCUCCUCCCCGCGUGAAUAAUAAACACGACUCGUCGGCUCGUGGACAACGCGACGAGAGAUGUCUCAGACCGCGUGGUGGCGGUGGCUACGCUGCUGUCCGUGACUGCCUCUAAUCCUCCAGCACUGUGGCGGCAGCAGCCAGGGUUGGUGGAUCACCGCACAGAUGAGGCUCCCUUCCCGUGGGCAUCGAGGAGGGGCCGUACCCUGGCUCUGACAGUAGCAUGCAGUACAGGCAAUCUGUAUUUAUUUAUUUAUUUUAAAUGUAUCUUCUCUGUGAUGAUCACUUUCUUGUUACGUGUAAUUUUUCUCUCGUUAUUUAUCUGUUCCUCUUUUAGUUUUCUAAUUGCAAGUAGAGGGGGUUUGUUGCAUCACCCGUGUAAGGGACUUGCUAAUUGAUGUGCAGCGUUGUGGGAUUCAAUUGCAUGAAUGACGCUCUAUUAAAUGAAAUUAUUAUUA